CCUACGGGUGGCAGCAGUCGAGAAUCAUUCACAAUGGGGGAAACCCUGAUGGUGCGACGCCGCGUGGAGGAAUGAAGGUCUUCGGAUUGUAAACCCCUGUCAUGUGGGAGCAAAUUAAAAAGAUAGUACCGCAAGAGGAAGAGACGGCUAACUCUGUGCAAGCAGCCGCGGUAAUACAGAGGUCGCAAGCGUUGUUCGGACUGACUGGGCGUAAAGGGUGCGUAGGCUGUUUCGUAAGUCGUGUGUGAAAGGCGCGGGCUCAACCCGCGGACGGCACAUGAUACUGCGAGACUAGAGUAAUGGAGGGGGAACCGGAAUUCUCGGUGUAGCAGUGAAAUGCGUAGAUAUCGAGAGGAACACUCGUGGCGAAGGCGGGUUCCUGGACAUUAACUGACGCUGAGGCACGAAGGCCAGGGGAGCGAAAGGGAUUAGAUACCCGUGUAGUC
Molecule: ribosomal RNA, 446 nt
Filed under: uncultured bacterium
Lineage: Bacteria
Description: partial 16S ribosomal RNA
Rfam family: Bacterial small subunit ribosomal RNA
Source: RNAcentral